UGGGGAAUAUUGCACAAUGGAGGGAACUCUGAUGCAGCGACGCCGCGUGAACGAAGAAGGCUUUCGAGUCGUAAUGUUCUUUUAUAUGGGAAGAUAAUGACGGUACCAUAAGAAAAAGCCCCGGCUAACUACGUGCCAGCAGCCGCGGUAAUACGUAGGGGGCUAGCGUUGUCCGGAAUCACUGGGCGUAAAGGGUUCGCAGGCGGAAAUGCAAGUCAGGUGUAAAAGGCAGUAGCUUAACUACUGUAAGCAUUUGAAACUGCAUAUCUGGAGAAGAGUAGAGGUAAGUGGAAUUUUUAGUGUAGCGAUGAAACGCGAAGAUAUUAAAAAGAAUACCGGUGGCGAAGGCGACUUACUGAACUAAUUCUGACGCUGAGGAACGAAAGCGGGGGUAGCAAACAGG
RNAcentral lists this ribosomal RNA (403 nucleotides) under Verrucomicrobiota bacterium. Its description in RNAcentral is "Verrucomicrobia bacterium partial 16S ribosomal RNA". It matches the Rfam family "Bacterial small subunit ribosomal RNA", at positions 355 to 776 of the family's 1533-position model. The record is from RNAcentral. Lineage: Bacteria; Pseudomonadati; Verrucomicrobiota.